CCUACGGGGGGCAGCAGUGGGGAAUAUUGGACAAUGGGCGAAAGCCUGAUCCAGCCAUGCCGCGUGUGUGAAGAAGGCCUUCGGGUUGUAAAGCACUUUCAGUGGGGAAGAAAGCCUUGGGGCUAAUACCCUCGAGGAAGGACAUCACCCACAGAAGAAGCACCGGCUAACCCCGUGCCAGCAGCCGCGGUAAUACGGAGGGUGCGAGCGUUAAUCGGAAUUACUGGGCGUAAAGCGCGCGUAGGCGGUCUGAUAAGCCGGUUGUGAAAGCCCCGGGCUCAACCUGGGAACGGCAUCCGGAACUGUCAGGCUAGAGUGCAGGAGAGGAAGGUAGAAUUCCCGGUGUAGCGGUGAAAUGCGUAGAGAUCGGGAGGAAUACCAGUGGCGAAGGCGGCCUUCUGGACUGACACUGACGCUGAGGUGCGAAAGCGUGGGUAGCAAACAGGAUUAGAUACCCUGGUAGUC
Molecule: ribosomal RNA, 465 nt
Filed under: Vreelandella stevensii
Lineage: Bacteria; Pseudomonadati; Pseudomonadota; Gammaproteobacteria; Oceanospirillales; Halomonadaceae
Description: partial 16S ribosomal RNA
Rfam family: Bacterial small subunit ribosomal RNA
Source: RNAcentral